This 644-nucleotide ribosomal RNA is filed under the name uncultured Halomonas sp. Its description in RNAcentral is "bacterial SSU rRNA". It matches the Rfam family "Bacterial small subunit ribosomal RNA", at positions 338 to 974 of the family's 1533-position model. Lineage: Bacteria; Pseudomonadati; Pseudomonadota; Gammaproteobacteria; Oceanospirillales; Halomonadaceae. The record is from RNAcentral.
CCUACGGGAGGCAGCAGUGGGGAAUAUUGGACAAUGGGGGCAACCCUGAUCCAGCCAUGCCGCGUGUGUGAAGAAGGCCCUCGGGUUGUAAAGCACUUUCAGCGAGGAAGAACGCCUGUCGGUUAAUACCCGGUAGGAAAGACAUCACUCGCAGAAGAAGCACCGGCUAACUCCGUGCCAGCAGCCGCGGUAAUACGGAGGGUGCAAGCGUUAAUCGGAAUUACUGGGCGUAAAGCGCGCGUAGGUGGCUUGAUAAGCCGGUUGUGAAAGCCCCGGGCUCAACCUGGGAACGGCAUCCGGAACUGUCAGGCUAGAGUGCAGGAGAGGAAGGUAGAAUUCCCGGUGUAGCGGUGAAAUGCGUAGAGAUCGGGAGGAAUACCAGUGGCGAAGGCGGCCUUCUGGACUGACACUGACACUGAGGUGCGAAAGCGUGGGUAGCAAACAGGAUUAGAUACCCUGGUAGUCCACGCCGUAAACGAUGUCGACCAGCCGUUGGGUGCCUAGAGCACUUUGUGGCGAAGUUAACGCGAUAAGUCGACCGCCUGGGGAGUACGGCCGCAAGGUUAAAACUCAAAUGAAUUGACGGGGGCCCGCACAAGCGGUGGAGCAUGUGGUUUAAUUCGAUGCAACGCGAAGAACCUUAC